GACGAACGCUGGCGGCGUGCCUAAUACAUGCAAGUAGAACGCUGAAGGAGGAGCUUGCUUCUCUGGAUGAGUUGCGAACGGGUGAGUAACGCGUAGGUAACCUGCCUGGUAGCGGGGGAUAACUAUUGGAAACGAUAGCCAAUACCGCAUAAUAGUAGAUGUUGCAUGACAUUUGCUUAAAAGGUGCAAUUGCAUCACUACCAGAUGGACCUGCGUUGUAUUAGCUAGUUGGUGGGGUAACGGCUCACCAAGGCGACGAUACAUAGCCGACCUGAGAGGGUGAGCGGCCACACUGAGACUGAGACACGGCCCAGACUGCUACGGGAGGCAGCAGUAGGGAAUCUUCGGCAAGGGACGGAAGUCUGACCGAGAAACGCCGCGUGAGUGAAGAAGGUUUUCGGAUCGGAAAGCUCUGUUGUAAGAGAAGAACGAGUGUGAGAGUGGAACGUUCACACUGUGACGGUAACUGACCAGAAAGGGACGGCUAACUACGUG
RNAcentral lists this ribosomal RNA (495 nucleotides) under uncultured bacterium. RNAcentral describes it as "partial 16S ribosomal RNA". It matches the Rfam family "Bacterial small subunit ribosomal RNA", at positions 28 to 507 of the family's 1533-position model. The record is from RNAcentral.